RNAcentral lists this long non-coding RNA (312 nucleotides) under Musa acuminata (dwarf banana). Its description in RNAcentral is "long non-coding RNA (MACU_LNC004596)". Lineage: Eukaryota; Viridiplantae; Streptophyta; Magnoliopsida; Zingiberales; Musaceae. The record is from RNAcentral.
GAAAACAUUUGAUAUCUCUUCUAGACUUGGAUCUUCCUCUAUAUCCAUGUGGGUUUCUGCUAUGACUUCUUCCACGUCUUUCUUGUUUUUCAGUAACAAAUGCACCAGAAGAAGAUUCACCCUGUUCUUUCCUUCUAGCAUCUUUAUUUAGCAAACUAUCUUUAACCAUAUCCAUAGUUAGAGUUCCCUCUGGUGUGGAGUUGCAAAUAGUCACCACAUACGUUUCCCAACUUUCUGGUAAAGAGCUGAGAAGUAAUAAUCCCUGCAUCUCAUCAUCUAUAUUCAUUUUCAUAGCAACCAACUUGUUUGUAA